Molecule: long non-coding RNA, 1935 nt
Organism: Pan troglodytes (chimpanzee)
Lineage: Eukaryota; Metazoa; Chordata; Mammalia; Primates; Hominidae
Source: Ensembl
GAUGGGAGAAGGGGAAUGUUCUGACCUUCCAGUAUCACUGGGGCCAACUAGGGGUAAAAACAGAGUGCCAGGUGGUGACACCCAGGAGGGGCAUGGAUGUGGUCUUCAGUGAUCAUCUGACAGCCAGUCAGUUGAUCACACAGUUUUAGCUGUGUCUUCUCCAAAUUGCAAUUCCUCUAUGUUAUGGUCAAGUCUUCAGUUAAGCUGGCUCACUGGAAUUGCCCCAUUUUGGUCUUAAGUUGGCACCCCUUGGGAGAAGGAAAGGACCAGCUCUAUCCAUAUUUUGGAACUGCAGCAACUUGGAGAGAGGAAAGCAACAGCCCACAAUUGCCUGCAUUUUCUUUCCUCUUCAAAACCACUUCUGCUCCAAAGACCAUGAACCUGAACUGAAGAAACGACUCCUUCCUGCUGGCGUGAGAUAAUUCAGUCUCCAUGAUGUCUUAAUCCUGGGCCUCCCUUAAUUGACUUCUAACUGUGCUGAACUGUGGCUGCUAGGAGUUGCAAUGUGGAUCGCAAUUUACAAGGCACUGGAAUCGUUUCUUGUCUUCAAAUUAGUCCUGAGCUGUACUGGAGAAAGAAAAAAAGGGGCCUUUACCCUUCUCGCUGUCUUGUCACCACAAGAAGAGAAAAAGACCGGUCUCUGUUUGGAAAUUACAAACAUAGAAGAACUUAGAAACAAUACGUUUCUAGAUUGGGUGGAAGAUGCUGUUGCAGAAAAGCAGUCCAAAAUCAUCCACAAGCUGAGAAAUCGGCUCCUGGACAUUAGAGAGUGCCUGGCUACUUCAAGAGUUGAGCUAAUCACAGGGAAGAUUCAGUCUCAGUUCAGCUGCCUCAUUUGAUCAGCUCAAGACUGAGUCCAACAAAAGUGGUCUGUCUAAUGAAACUCAUUUUCAUUUUUUCUCAUUAGUCUAUACACGAUUGAGACUGUAGAACGACAAAAGAAUAAAAAGAAGAAUGACAAUUAAAAAUCAUUUUCUCUGGCCCUUGAUUUUUGCCUUCUUUUUUUUAAAUGUAGUUACGUGCUCAUUUUUUGUUUCUUUUUUAUUCUCUGCUCUUCUUUUCUAUUGAUUUUCCCAUUUAUGAAGGGGGAAUUAGUAAAUCCAUGGUCUGAGUGCUGAGAUGUUCUGAUAGGCCUUCAAGUUUUCAGCUGUACUCUGAAUCAGAAUAAUAUACUCCAUCAAGGAGACUGACAUUGGCACCACCUUCCCAGAAAUCCAGGAGCGCCUUUGCAUGAGUAAAAGCAGAAGGGAGUAAAGUCAUGAAACAUUGUGUGUGUGUUUGUAUAAAACUGUAUAUUUUUGCUCACAUAUAAUAACUAUAUAUUUCUGCUAAUUUUUCCUUUUAAAGGCUAUUAAGUUACUUAAAAUCCAUUGCCUAAUAAAACUGCAAUUCACCUUUGUAAUUCACUCAUUUGUUUGCUGUCACAGGGAAGAUAGAAAUUGAGCAUGUUUUCGGCCGGGUGUGGUGGCUCACGCCUGUAAUCCUAACACUUGGGGAGGCCGAGGUGGGCGGGUCACGAGGUCAGGAGAUUGAGACCAUCCUGGCUAACAUGGUGAAACCUCGUCUCCACUAAAAAUUCAAAAAAUUAGCCGGACGAGGUGGUGGGUGCCUGUAGUCCCAGCUACUCGGGAGGCUGAGGCAGGAGAAUGGCAUGAACCCUGGAGGCAGAGUUUGCAGUGAGCUGAGAUCGAGCCACUGCACUCCAGCUUGGGCGACAGAGCGAGACUCUGUCUCAAAAAAAAAAAAGAAAAGAAAAAGAAAAAAAGAAAAAGAAAAGAAAAGAAAAGAAAUUGAGCACGUUUUCUGCUCUCCUUCAAUACCAACCUCAGAAUAAAGUGAUGGCGGAGAGAAAACAAGGAUCUUGUUUCAAAAAUCCUUUAAUUCCAUGUAACUGAAAACAUGAGUCCCACUGACAGUUUUUAAAAAGGUAAGGAG